CKCMACCKRRGUUUGAUCCUGGCUCAGGACGAACGCUGGCGGCSUGYUUAACACAUGCAAGUCGAACGGAAAGGCCUCUUCGGAGGUACUCGAGUGGCGAACGGGUGAGUAACACGUGGGUAAUCUGCCCUGCACUUCGGGAUAAGCCUGGGAAACUGGGUCUAAUACSGAAUAGGACCAUUUAGCGCAUGCUUUAUGGUGGAAAGCUUUUGCGGUGUGGGAUGGGCCCGCGGCCUAUCAGCUUGUUGGUGGGGUGACGGCCUACCAAGGCGACGACGGGUAGCCGGCCUGAGAGGGUGUCCGGCCACACUGGGACUGAGAUACGGCCCAGACUCCUACGGGAGGCAGCAGUGGGGAAUAUUGCACAAUGGGCGCAAGCCUGAUGCAGCGAUGCCGCGKGGGGGAUGACGGCCUUCGGGUUGUAAACCUCUUUCAGCAGGGACGAAGCGCAAGUGACGGUACCUGCAGAAGAAGCACCGGCCAACUACGUGCCAGCAGCCGCGGUAAUAC
This 510-nucleotide ribosomal RNA is filed under the name uncultured Mycobacterium sp. Its description in RNAcentral is "bacterial SSU rRNA". It matches the Rfam family "Bacterial small subunit ribosomal RNA", at positions 1 to 526 of the family's 1533-position model. The record is from RNAcentral. Lineage: Bacteria; Bacillati; Actinomycetota; Actinomycetes; Mycobacteriales; Mycobacteriaceae.